AGAGUUUGAUCCUGGCUCAGGAUGAACGCUGGCGGCGUGCCUAAUACAUGCAAGUCGAGCGAACGGACGAGAAGCUUGCUUCUCUGAUGUUAGCGGCGGACGGGUGAGUAACACGUGGAUAACCUACCUAUAAGACUGGGAUAACUUCGGGAAACCGGAGCUAAUACCGGAUAAUAUUUUGAACCGCAUGGUUCAAAAGUGAAAGACGGUCUUGCUGUCACUUAUAGAUGGAUCCGCGCUGCAUUAGCUAGUUGGUAAGGUAACGGCUUACCAAGGCAACGAUGCAUAGCCGACCUGAGAGGGUGAUCGGCCACACUGGAACUGAGACACGGUCCAGACUCCUACGGGAGGCAGCAGUAGGGAAUCUUCCGCAAUGGGCGAAAGCCUGACGGAGCAACGCCGCGUGAGUGAUGAAGGUCUUCGGAUCGUAAAACUCUGUUAUUAGGGAAGAACAUAUGUGUAAGUAACUGUGCACAUCUUGACGGUACCUAAUCAGAAAGCCACGGCUAACUACGUGCCAGCAGCCGCGGUAAUACGUAGGUGGCAAGCGUUAUCCGGAAUUAUUGGGCGUAAAGCGCGCGUAGGCGGUUUUUUAAGUCUGAUGUGAAAGCCCACGGCUCAACCGUGGAGGGUCAUUGGAAACUGGAAAACUUGAGUGCAGAAGAGGAAAGUGGAAUUCCAUGUGUAGCGGUGAAAUGCGCAGAGAUAUGGAGGAACACCAGUGGCGAAGGCGACUUUCUGGUCUGUAACUGACGCUGAUGUGCGAAAGCGUGGGGAUCAAACAGGAUUAGAU
RNAcentral lists this ribosomal RNA (793 nucleotides) under Staphylococcus aureus UB 08-116. Its description in RNAcentral is "bacterial SSU rRNA". It matches the Rfam family "Bacterial small subunit ribosomal RNA", at positions 8 to 783 of the family's 1533-position model. Lineage: Bacteria; Bacillati; Bacillota; Bacilli; Caryophanales; Staphylococcaceae. The record is from RNAcentral.